This 253-nucleotide ribosomal RNA is filed under the name uncultured bacterium. Its description in RNAcentral is "partial 16S ribosomal RNA". It matches the Rfam family "Bacterial small subunit ribosomal RNA", at positions 524 to 776 of the family's 1533-position model. The record is from RNAcentral.
UACAGAGGUGGCAAGCGUUGUUCGGAAUUACUGGGCGUAAAGGGCGCGUAGGCGGCCUUCUAAGUCAGACGUGAAAUCCCCAGGCUUAACUUGGGAACUGCGUCUGAUACUGGAGGGCUCGAGUGCGGGAGAGGGAUGUGGAAUUCCAGGUGUAGCGGUGAAAUGCGUAGAUAUCUGGAGGAACACCGGUGGCGAAGGCGGGUCUCUGGGCCGAUACUGACGCUGAGGAGCGAAAGCGUGGGGAGCAAACAGG